Molecule: long non-coding RNA, 290 nt
Filed under: Elaeis guineensis (African oil palm)
Lineage: Eukaryota; Viridiplantae; Streptophyta; Magnoliopsida; Arecales; Arecaceae
Description: long non-coding RNA (EGUI_LNC007545)
Source: RNAcentral
AGCUCACAACAAGGACAGGUCCGUUGGAUCUCCAUACCAUGGCCUCUUAAAAUGGAUCUCAUCGAUAACUGAUCCCAGACCAUCUUUCACAGAAAAAGGCUCACCCGCGGAUGCACCCCCAUCCUCCAAAUCCACCUCACAUCUAUCUGCUUGGAUGGUCCCCUCCAAUAUAAAUGAUAAAGAUCCAUGGUCACCAUUUUUGAAGAGCAAGACUGCCUCCAGACCCGGAUGUUCGAAUUGCCAUAAAUCGGCACAGGAAGGGCCAAGAUCCAUUUCCCUAGUUGCUCCCC